This 221-nucleotide long non-coding RNA is filed under the name Homo sapiens (human). RNAcentral describes it as "long non-coding RNA NONHSAT175863". The record is from RNAcentral. Lineage: Eukaryota; Metazoa; Chordata; Mammalia; Primates; Hominidae.
GAGCGGAUCUCAAUGGCUUUCUCACCCCAGCCCAUUAUCUGGUUGGAGCAGAUGUAGGCUCUCACUCACCCACAGAAGUAGGCAUCUCCCCCCACUGCAGCACCACAUCCUUAAUGAUGCGCCCCCGGGUGUUGGUGGGAUUCACGUUGACCACAGAACCCUUCCUCACGUCGUACUGCAGCUGGUCGAGCCGAGUGCCCUCUCCACCCACUAGGGCUGCC